Molecule: long non-coding RNA, 2461 nt
Filed under: Homo sapiens (human)
Lineage: Eukaryota; Metazoa; Chordata; Mammalia; Primates; Hominidae
Description: HSALNT0155392
Source: RNAcentral
GGGUGGCCUGUAAGAGGACACUUAGGGUUUGUCCCUAAGUGACACCAGACAAGAGGAGGAGUCUAGGACCUGUCUUUCAGAGGGAUCCAAAAGCUGUGGUCCAGGAAACCCAAAAUUGUUCCUUUGUAACUUCCACUGGGGACUGCAGAAGGGUCAGCAGCAAAAUCUGAAAGUGAGCAGAGCCACGGGGGCAGUGGGAAUCGGAGACUUGGGGCCACUUUCAUGGGCUUCCGAGGCGAUCGAGCAACGUCAGUCUUCAGCUGCUAAGCCGAGAAGAUCUGGGAAGGAGUCAGUCAGAGAGCCUUGGGCCAGAGUUCCAGGGGCUCUGGGAGUGGCUGCCAGGUGAGUUGAACAGUCCGAUUUCCAGUGGGGUCCCCCACAGAUGGGACACGGCUUAGGAGGAAUCCCGGGCUGCGGGCAUUCCUUGGCCUGGUGGCCAGAUUUCUGGCACUUGUAGCAAGCGCCUGGGGGAGGCAGUUCUGGAGGAAUGCCUGGCCACUGCGGUUUAGGCGUUUGGAAGUUCUUGUGUGCUGGAGAUGUGGCUGGGGUUUGUCUCACAGUGGAGGCAAGGAAUUGCAACUCAGAAAUAUGUUGCUAGUUGGCUGCCUAUACUCUAUUAUUGUACACCUUGAAGGUGAGGUUAAUUAAGUCCUGUUGUGGGGUUUGAGGGCCGGAAUUUAAUUUUUGGAGUUUUAUUUAAUGUUGGGAGCAGAUUGGGUAAUAAAAUGUAUAUUGAGAAUAAGACGGCCUUUUGACCUUUUAGGGUCUAGGGCUGUAAAACGUCUCAGGGUUGCUGCCAAACGAGUCAGGAACUGGGCUGGAUUUUUAUAUUUGAUGAGAAAGAGCCUAAACGCUAUCUGAUCUGGAAUAAAGAAAAAGGAGCAUUGACCUUGACUAUGACUUUAGCUCCAGCCACCUUUUUAAGAGUAAAUUGCUGGGCAGGUGGGGGAGGGCUAGUCAUGGAACGAAACUGUAAGCUGGACCAGGUGUGAGGAGGGGAGGUGAUAAAAGGAUUAUAGGGUGGAGGAGCAGAGGCUGAGGAAGAAUUGGGACCUAGCUCGGCCUGGUGAGGAGGGGAGAGGUCAGAUAGGUCUGUAGAAAAUGAAGAUUAGAAAGACUCAGUGAUGCUUGGGGUUGGGACUGAGGGGACAGGUGGGAGGGAAAGAAGGAAGAUUUGGGACGAGUUGCAUUGGGAACAGAGGCUAGGGAGUGACUGAUGUGUAAAAGAAUGCCUGGAUGUCAGGCACCUCAGACCAUUUGCCCAUUUUACGACAAGAAUUAUUUAAAUCUUGUAGGAUGGAAAAAAUGGAAAUGCCGUUUUCUGGCUAUUUGGAACUACUGUCGAGUUUGUAUUGGGGUCAAGCGGCAUUGCAGAAGAAAAUAAGGCAUUUAGGUUUUAGGUCAGGUGUGAGUUGAAGAGGUUUUAAGUUCUUGAGAACACAGGCUAAGGGAGAAGAAGGAGGAAUGGAGGGUGGAAAUUUGCCCAUAGUGAAGGAAGCAAGCCCAGAGAAAAGAGAGAGUAGAGACACGGAGGGAAGGGGUUCGGGGGUUCUUACCCUCCAGAAAAAUGGGAAAGGGGUUGGGGUGUGGAAAUAAGGGGUCAGGGCACAGAGAUAAGAGGUGGGGCAUGGAAAUAAGGGAUCAGGGCAAAGAGAUAAGAGGUCGGGGCAUGGAAAUAAGGGAUCAGGGUGCAGAGUUAAGAGGUUGGGGCAUGGAAAUAAGGGAUUGGGGCACAGAGAUAAGAGGUCAGGGUGUGGAAAUAAGGGAUUGGGGGUUCCUGACCCCUAGAAAAGUGGGACUUGCCGCUAAGGUUAAAGGAGAAGAGGUUGAGGGGUUCUUGCCCCUCCCCCAGAAAAGCAGAGAAGGGGUAGAGACAAGGAGAGAAGGGGUUGGGGUACUUGCCCUUCCCCCAGAAAAGCAGGACUUGCCACUAAGGGUGAAGGACCAAGGCAGGCGUCCCUGCAUGGUCUGACACCUCUGAAACGUGGGUGAAUAAUCAGAGAGGCAUCCCUGCAAUGAUUAAACACCAAGGGAAGGCUGCCUUCCCAGUCCGUGACCGGCGCCGGAGUUUUGGGUCCAUGGAUAAAACGUGUCUCCUUUGUCUCUACCAGAAAAUGAAAGGAAUUGAAAUUAAGAGAAGGCAGAGAUUGAAGUGUGGCGCCAAGAUUGAAAGGAGAAAGAGGUUGAGGGAUAGUGAGGGAGGUUGGAGAAGAGAGUAAAAAGAGGCCGCUUACUGGAUUUGAAAUUGGUGAGAUGUUUCUUGGGCUGGUCGGUCUGAGGACCUGAGGUCGUAGGUGGGUCUUUCUCAACAGAGCAAAGAGCAGGAGGACAGGGGAUUGAUCUCCCACAAGAGGUCCCCCGAUCCGAGUCACGGUACCAAAUUUCAUGCGUGUCCGUGUGAAGAGACCACCAAACAGGCUUUGUGUGAGCAAUAAAGAUAUUAAUCACCUGGGUGCAGGCG